This 199-nucleotide non-coding RNA is filed under the name Triticum aestivum (bread wheat). RNAcentral's name for it is "rRNA LSU_rRNA_eukarya". It matches the Rfam family "Eukaryotic large subunit ribosomal RNA", at positions 2132 to 2333 of the family's 3401-position model. Lineage: Eukaryota; Viridiplantae; Streptophyta; Magnoliopsida; Poales; Poaceae. The record is from Rfam by way of RNAcentral. RNAcentral also lists the same sequence under 1 other name.
AUCCAACAUUAGUAAGAAAACAAAGCAUUGCGAUGGUCCUCGCGGAUGCUGACGCAAUGUGAUUUCUGCCCAGUGCUCUGAAUGUUAAAGUGAAGAAAUUCAACCAAGCGCGGGUAAACGGAGAGUAACUAUGACUCUCUUAAGGUAGCCAAAUGCCUCGUCAUCUAAUUAGCGACGCGCAUGAAUGGAUUAACGAGAU